AAAAACCCAAACCCAACCCAAGACCAUGUCAUCACACUCCACCCAAGCCACUCAACAAUCUCCCCAAAAUAGUUGGGACAGCUCACCAGCUCAAACCACCCUCCUCUUGGUACCUUGUACCCACCAUUCUCUCUCUUUAACCCCAUCAAAACCCUAUCAGACCAUACAUUAAUCCACAUACCCCACAAAAACACCAAUAGCCCACCAAAAAAUUUCCACCAGAACCGCCCAUCAGUGUGAUAAUUCUCCUUGUAAUGAGACACCCACCUAGCUUGCAAGUAAGCAUUCAAUAAAUUAAACCCAAAAGCCAUCAGGGCCACACUCACUGGAAAUCCAGUACCAGAUUUGGUAUUCCGCUGAGUGGUACUCAGGUAAAGGCUAAGAGGGUAGAGGCAGGUGCGGUGGAAAUAGUGGAUGAGAAAAGGAGACAUAAGAAUCAGUGCUUUGGAAUUCGUGGCAUGUUGGCCGAAAGGAAAGAGGAGAAGGGUAAGCCAGAGA
This 498-nucleotide unclassified non-coding RNA is filed under the name Hevea brasiliensis (rubber tree). The record is from RNAcentral. Lineage: Eukaryota; Viridiplantae; Streptophyta; Magnoliopsida; Malpighiales; Euphorbiaceae.